Molecule: small RNA, 265 nt
Filed under: Pongo abelii (Sumatran orangutan)
Lineage: Eukaryota; Metazoa; Chordata; Mammalia; Primates; Hominidae
Source: RNAcentral
GCCGGGCAUGGUGGUGCACGCCUGUAAUCUCAGCUACUCGGGAGGCUGAGGCAGGAGAAUUGCUUGAACCUGGGAGGAGGAGGUUGUAGUGAGCUGAGAUCAUGCCAUUGCACUCCAGUUUGGGCAACAAGAGCAAAACUUGUAAUCCUAGCUACUCAGGAGACUGAGACAGGAGAAUUGCAUGAACCCAGGAGGCAGAAGUUGCAAUGAGCUGAGAUCACGCCAUUGCACUCCAGCCUGGGUGGUAGUGCGAGACUUUGUCUAA